RNAcentral lists this small RNA (107 nucleotides) under Arabidopsis thaliana (thale cress). Its description in RNAcentral is "ATSL215700". The record is from RNAcentral. Lineage: Eukaryota; Viridiplantae; Streptophyta; Magnoliopsida; Brassicales; Brassicaceae.
AAAUUAUACUAACUUUAAAAAGAUAAAUUGUCUCCGCAGUGUACCGCGGAUUAAAAUCUAGUUAGAAAACAAAAGCGUUGUCAUUGAUUUUAUUCUAUUUUAAUUUA